Molecule: ribosomal RNA, 487 nt
Filed under: Triticum aestivum (bread wheat)
Lineage: Eukaryota; Viridiplantae; Streptophyta; Magnoliopsida; Poales; Poaceae
Description: partial small subunit ribosomal RNA
Source: RNAcentral
UCGCCAAGUGGAAACUCCUACUUGAUGGUCGCCGCCGACACGAGCUGUAGGAAGGAGAGACUGCUAACGCCUCCAGCGCCGUUGCUUCUGUUACCGCGGCCACGGCCUUCCUACUGGGCCUCCGUUCCAUAUGAGGGGAGAGAGCAUGCAGCUCACGAGGGGGAAAGAGAGAACUACGCCACCGCUGGUCCCCCGUUUAACCCGUCACAUUUCCAUGCCGCGCUCGAGCCACUGCCGUUACUGAAGAAGCCGCAGGGAGAGGUGCAGACCACCAAACGAGCGUACCUUGCCCCGUUUCUUUCUCCAUCUUCUGGUUCUUUCCUCUACCUUCUUUUCUCCCCUCGAACGUAUGACUUACCCUACUGCCUCAUCUUGAAGCGAGCUUACACCCUAGUUAAGCCUCUAGUAUGUACUCCUCUUCUUCUCCUCCUCGAGUUGCGACGUCGUCUCUUUAUUGUGAUCUCAUAGCGGAAUCUAGGUCGGAAAC